GGGAUAACAUUCUGAAAAGAAUGCUAAUACCGCAUGACAUAUCGGAACCACAUGGUUUUGAUAUCAAAGAUUUUAUCGCUUGAAGAUGGACUCGCGUCCGAUUAGUUAGUUGGUGAGGUAACGGCUCACCAAGACCGCGAUCGGUAGCCGGACUGAGAGGUUGAACGGCCACAUUGGGACUGAGACACGGCCCAGACUCCUACGGGAGGCAGCAGUGGGGGAUAUUGCGCAAUGGGGGCAACCCUGACGCAGCAACGCCGCGUGAAGGAUGAAGGUUUUCGGAUUGUAAACUUCUUUUAUUAAGGACGAAAAAUGACGGUACUUAAUGAAUAAGCUCCGGCUAACUACGUGCCAGCAGCCGCGGUAAUACGUAGGGAGCAAGCGUUGUCCGGAUUUACUGGGUGUAAAGGGUGCGUAGGCGGCUUUGCAAGUCAGAUGUGAAAUCUAUGGGCUCAACCCAUAAACUGCAUUUGAAACUGUAGAGCUUGAGUGAAGUAGAGGCAGGCGGAAUUCCCCGUGUAGCGGUGAAAUGCGUAGAGAUGGGGAGGAACACCAGUGGCGAAGGCGGCCUGCUGGGCUUUAACUGACGCUGAGGCACGAAAGCGUGGGUAGCAAACAGGAUUAGAUACCCUGGUAGUCCACGCUGUAAACGAUGAUAACUAGGUGUGGGGGGUCUGACCCCUUCCGUGCCGGAG
Molecule: ribosomal RNA, 695 nt
Filed under: uncultured bacterium
Lineage: Bacteria
Description: bacterial SSU rRNA
Rfam family: Bacterial small subunit ribosomal RNA
Source: RNAcentral